ACAGGGAUUGCCUUAGUAACGGCGAGUGAAGCGGCAACAGCUCAAAUUUGAAAUCUGGCUCUUUCAGAGUCCGAGUUGUAAUUUGCAGAGGGCGCUUUGGCGUUGGCAGCGGUCCAAGUUCCUUGGAACAGGACGUCACAGAGGGUGAGAAUCCCGUACGUGGUCGCUAGCCAUCGCCGUGUAAAGCCCCUUCGACGAGUCGAGUUGUUUGGGAAUGCAGCUCUAAAUGGGAGGUAAAUUUCUUCUAAAGCUAAAUACUGGCCAGAGACCGAUAGCGCACAAGUAGAGUGAUCGAAAGAUGAAAAGCACUUUGGAAAGAGAGUCAAACAGCACGUGAAAUUGUUGAAAGGGAAGCGCUUGCAGCCAGACUUGCCUGUAGUUGCUCAUCCGGGCUUUUGCCCGGUGCACUCUUCUGCGGGCAGGCCAGCAUCAGUUUGGGCGGUUGGAUAAAGGUCUCUGUCAUGUACCUCUCUUCGGGGAGAACUUAUAGGGGAGACGACAUACAACCAGCCUGGACUGAGGUCCGCGCAUUUGCUAGGAUGCUGGCGUAAUGGCUGUAAGCGGCCCGUCUUGAAACACGGACCAAGGAGUCUAACAUCUAUGCGAGUGUUUGGGUGUCAAGCCCGAGCGCGUAAUGAAAGUGAACGGAGGUGGGACCCCUUUAGGGUGCACCAUCGACCGAUCCUGAUGUCUUCGGAUGGAUUUGAGUAAGAGCAUGGCUGUUGGGACCCGAAAGAUGGUGAACUAUGCUUGAAUAGGGUGAAGCCAGAGGAAACUCUGGUGGAGGCUCGCAGCGGUUCUGACGUGCAAAUCGAUCGUCAAAUUUGGGCAUAGGGGCGAAAGACUAA
Molecule: ribosomal RNA, 848 nt
Filed under: Neocamarosporium lamiacearum
Lineage: Eukaryota; Fungi; Ascomycota; Dothideomycetes; Neocamarosporiaceae
Description: eukaryotic LSU rRNA
Rfam family: Eukaryotic large subunit ribosomal RNA
Source: RNAcentral